Molecule: transfer RNA, 73 nt
Filed under: Leifsonia sp. Leaf264
Lineage: Bacteria; Bacillati; Actinomycetota; Actinomycetes; Micrococcales; Microbacteriaceae
Description: tRNA-Ala
Rfam family: tRNA
About the family: Transfer RNA (tRNA) molecules are approximately 80 nucleotides in length. Their secondary structure includes four short double-helical elements and three loops (D, anti-codon, and T loops).
Source: RNAcentral
GGGCCCUUAGCUCAGUUGGUAGAGCGCCUCGCUGGCAGUGAGGAGGUCGGGAGUUCGAGCCUCCCAGGGUCCA